Molecule: long non-coding RNA, 368 nt
Filed under: Fukomys damarensis (Damara mole-rat)
Lineage: Eukaryota; Metazoa; Chordata; Mammalia; Rodentia; Bathyergidae
Description: lncRNA (ENSFDAG00000032802.1)
Source: RNAcentral
GACCUUCCAGAGGCCCGAGGCCGGCUUGAGGAUGGACGUGUAUCAGGCACUUACUGUGCGGGUCACUCCCUGGAUCCUGGUCUGGCAGCAGGAAACAGAGGACGCGGUUGCCACACGGAGCCUGCAUUCAAGUGAGAGAGCAAAAGUGAGUCAUCAGCAUCAGCUCAGUGACGGCUGCAGUGACUACAGAGGGGUGCGUGCCUUGAGGCUGAGAACCGCUAAAGCGUGAACAGCCAGGGCCGGAUGGCUAUGCAGGGACCCGGAUGACGAAGGAGACCGCGAUGUUGGUGAAGGUGAGAUUCACUCCUCAGCUACAUCUUCAGAAGACAGCUGUUUUUCAUCUUUGGUGAUUGAUUGUAGAAGACCCA